UACGUAGGGAGCGAGCGUUGUUCGGAAUUACUGGGCGUAAAGGGCGCGUAGGCGGCCUUCUAAGUCAGACGUGAAAUCCCCCGGCUUAACCUGGGAACUGCGUCUGAUACUGGGAGGCUUGAGUAUGGGAGAGGGAUGUAGAAUUCCAGGUGUAGCGGUGAAAUGCGUAGAUAUCUGGAGGAAUACCGGUGGCGAAGGCGGCAUCCUGGACCAUAACUGACGCUGAGGCGCGAAAGCUAGGGGAGCAAACGGG
Molecule: ribosomal RNA, 253 nt
Filed under: uncultured bacterium
Lineage: Bacteria
Description: partial 16S ribosomal RNA
Rfam family: Bacterial small subunit ribosomal RNA
Source: RNAcentral